AACGAACGCUGGCGGCAUGCCUAACACAUGCGAGUCGAACGAGACCUUCGGGUCUAGUGGCGCACGGGUGCGUAACGCGUGGGAACCUGCCCUUAGGUUCGGAAUAACUCCCCGAAAGGGGUGCUAAUACCGGAUAAUGUCUUCGGACCAAAGAUUUAUCGCCUUUGGAUGGGCCCGAGUUGGAUUAGCUAGUUGGUAGGGUAAAAGCCUACCAAGGCGACGAUCCAUAGCUGGUCUGAGAGGAUGAUCAGCCACACUGGGACUGAGACACGGCCCAGACUCCUACGGGAGGCAGCAGUGGGGAAUAUUGGACAAUGGGCGAAAGCCUGAUCCAGCAAUGCCGCGUGAGUGAUGAAGGCCUUAGGGUUGUAAAGCUCUUUUACCCGGGAUGAUAAUGACAGUACCGGGAGAAUAAGCUCCGGCUAACUCCGUG
Molecule: ribosomal RNA, 433 nt
Filed under: uncultured bacterium
Lineage: Bacteria
Description: partial 16S ribosomal RNA
Rfam family: Bacterial small subunit ribosomal RNA
Source: RNAcentral